RNAcentral lists this ribosomal RNA (460 nucleotides) under uncultured bacterium. Its description in RNAcentral is "partial 16S ribosomal RNA". It matches the Rfam family "Bacterial small subunit ribosomal RNA", at positions 338 to 795 of the family's 1533-position model. The record is from RNAcentral.
CCUACGGGAGGCAGCAGUGAGGAAUAUUGGUCAAUGGACGCAAGUCUGAACCAGCCAUGCCGCGUGCAGGAAGACGGCUCUAUGAGUUGUAAACUGCUUUUGUACGAGGGUAAACGUGGAUACGCGUAUUUAUCUGAAAGUACCGUACGAAUAAGGAUCGGCUAACUCCGUGCCAGCAGCCGCGGUAAUACGGAGGAUUCAAGCGUUAUCCGGAUUUAUUGGGUUUAAAGGGUGCGUAGGCGGUGGGAUAAGUUAGAGGUGAAAUGACGAAGCUUAACUCGGGAACUGCCUCUGAUACUGUUGAGCUAGAGAGUAGUUGCGGUAGGCGGAAUGUAUGGUGUAGCGGUGAAAUGCUUAGAGAUCAUACAGAACACCGAUUGCGAAGGCAGCUUACCAAGCUACUUCUGACGUUGAGGCACGAAAGCGUGGGGAGCAAACAGGAUUAGAUACCCCAGUAGUC